UGCAACUCGAGUGCAUGAAGCUGGAAUCGCUAGUAAUCGCGGAUCAGAAUGCCGCGGUGAAUAACGUUCCCGGGUCUUGUACACACCGCCCGUCACACCAUGGGAGUCGGGAAUGCCCGAAGCCGGUGGCCCGAUCGAGAGAAGGGAGCCGUCGAAGGCAGGCCGGAUGACUGGGGUGAAGUCGUAACAAGGUAUC
This 196-nucleotide ribosomal RNA is filed under the name uncultured bacterium. RNAcentral's name for it is "partial 16S ribosomal RNA". It matches the Rfam family "Bacterial small subunit ribosomal RNA", at positions 1306 to 1500 of the family's 1533-position model. The record is from RNAcentral.